CAGUAGCCGCGGUAAUACGAAGGGGGCUAGCGUUGCUCGGAAUGACUGGGCGUAAAGGGCGCGUAGGCGGCGGCCAAAGUCAGGCGUGAAAUUCCCGGGCUCAACCUGGGGGCUGCGUUUGAUACUUGGUUGCUUGAGUGGGGAAGAGGGUCGUGGAAUUCCCAGUGUAGAGGUGAAAUUCGUAGAUAUUGGGAAGAACACCGGUGGCGAAGGCGGCUCACUGGACCGACACUGACGCUGAGGCGCGAAAGCGUGGGGAGCAAACAGGAUUAGAUACCCCUGUAGUCCCUGUCUCUUAUAC
RNAcentral lists this ribosomal RNA (301 nucleotides) under uncultured bacterium. RNAcentral's name for it is "partial 16S ribosomal RNA". It matches the Rfam family "Bacterial small subunit ribosomal RNA", at positions 509 to 807 of the family's 1533-position model. The record is from RNAcentral.